AUUGAACGCUGGCGGCAUGCUUUACACAUGCAAGUCGAACGGUAACAGGUCUUCGGAUGCUGACGAGUGGCGAACGGGUGAGUAAUACAUCGGAACGUGCCUAGUAGUGGGGGAUAACUACUCGAAAGAGUAGCUAAUACCGCAUGAGAUCUACGGAUGAAAGCAGGGGACCUUCGGGCCUUGUGCUACUAGAGCGGCUGAUGGCAGAUUAGGUAGUUGGUGGGGUAAAGGCUUACCAAGCCUGCGAUCUGUAGCUGGUCUGAGAGGACGACCAACCACACUGGGACUGAGACACGGCCCAGACUCCUACGGGAGGCAGCAGUGGGGAAUUUUGGACAAUGGGCGAAAGCCUGAUCCAGCAAUGCCGCGUGCAGGAUGAAGGCCCUCGGGUUGUAAACUGCUUUUGUACGGAACGAAAAGCCUGGGGCUAAUACCCCCGGGUCAUGACGGUACCGUAAGAAUAAGCACCGGCUAACUACGUGCCAGCAGCCGCGGUAAUACGUAGGGUGCAAGCGUUAAUCGGAAUUACUGGGCGUAAAGCGUGCGCAGGCGGUUUUGUAAGACAGUGGUGAAAUCCCCGGGCUCAACCUGGGAACUGCCAUUGUGACUGCAAGGCUAGAGUGCGGCAGAGGGGGAUGGAAUUCCGCGUGUAGCAGUGAAAUGCGUAGAUAUGCGGAGGAACACCGAUGGCGAAGGCAAUCCCCUGGGCCUGCACUGACGCUCAUGCACGAAAGCGUGGGGAGCAAACAGG
Molecule: ribosomal RNA, 751 nt
Filed under: uncultured Comamonas sp.
Lineage: Bacteria; Pseudomonadati; Pseudomonadota; Betaproteobacteria; Burkholderiales; Comamonadaceae
Description: bacterial SSU rRNA
Rfam family: Bacterial small subunit ribosomal RNA
Source: RNAcentral